GACGAACGCUGGCGGCGUGGAUUAGGCAUGCAAGUCGAACGGUAGGAUACCUUCGGGUAUCUGAGAGUGGCGAACGGGUGAGUAACACGUAGGUGAUCUACCCUCAAGAUUGGGACAACCCAGGGAAACUUGGGCUAAUACCGGAUGAAAGCAGCAGUGAUGUUGUUUGAAAGGUGGCGUAAGCUGCCGUUUGGGGAUGAGCCUGCGCUCUAUUAGUUAGUUGGCGGGGUAAAGCCCACCAAGGCGAUGAUAGAUAGGCGGCCUUAACGGGUGGUCGCCCACACUGGGAUUGAGAUACGGCCCAGACUCCUACGGGAGCAGCAGUCGAGAAUAGUCUACAAUGGCCGAAAGGCUGAUAGUGCGACGCCGCGUGAACGAAGAAGCCCUUCGGGGUGUAAAGUUCUUUUAUAUGUGAGCAGUGCUUUCUAUGUGAACAGCAUGGGGAAGAGAUAUUAGCAUAUGAAUAAGCAACGGCUAACUCGUGCCAGCACG
Molecule: ribosomal RNA, 492 nt
Filed under: uncultured bacterium
Lineage: Bacteria
Description: bacterial SSU rRNA
Rfam family: Bacterial small subunit ribosomal RNA
Source: RNAcentral